CUCCACUGCAACGCGGGAGCAGCCUUGCCCACCGAAACAGCUGACUAGCGAGUAGCGAUACAUGGCUUCGUGCUUCGUGGGCAUCUGUUGAAUUGAAGUUGCAGACUAAUUUGUAAAAGAAAGUGUUGGAGUACAAAGUGCACGAGUUGCCAUUGGGAUACUUUCCGAGCUGCACGAGGUCCCCACGAGCGGCGGCCCUCGACCGGUCGAGAGUAUGUCUGCUCGCCGCAGCAUCUCCACGCGAGACGUGAAUCUGCUUGCUGCGGCUGCUCACCGACACCCGAGACUGGUA
Long non-coding RNA from Schistocerca cancellata (South American locust), 292 nucleotides. RefSeq lists it as uncharacterized. The transcript has 2 exons. The record is from RefSeq and is a predicted model, not a curated record. NCBI's taxonomy places the organism in Eukaryota, Metazoa, Arthropoda, Insecta, Orthoptera, Acrididae.